RNAcentral lists this ribosomal RNA (231 nucleotides) under uncultured bacterium. RNAcentral describes it as "partial 16S ribosomal RNA". It matches the Rfam family "Bacterial small subunit ribosomal RNA", at positions 99 to 334 of the family's 1533-position model. The record is from RNAcentral.
CGGACGGGUGAGUAAUGUCUGGGAAACUGCCCGAUGGAGGGGGAUAACUACUGGAAACGGUAGCUAAUACCGCAUAACGUCGCAAGACCAAAGAGGGGGACCUUCGGGCCUCUUGCCAUCGGAUGUGCCCAGAUGGGAUUAGCUAGUAGGUGGGGUAACGGCUCACCUAGGCGACGAUCCCUAGCUGGUCUGAGAGGAUGACCAGCCACACUGGAACUGAGCACGGUCCAG